Molecule: ribosomal RNA, 1182 nt
Filed under: uncultured bacterium
Lineage: Bacteria
Description: bacterial SSU rRNA
Rfam family: Bacterial small subunit ribosomal RNA
Source: RNAcentral
UUAGAGUUUGAUCAUGGCUCAGGAUGAACGCUAGCGGCAGGCCUAACACAUGCAAGUCGAGGGAGAAGCCCUUUCGGGGGCAGAAACCGGCGCACGGGUGCGUAACGCGUAUGCAACCUACCUUUCACAGGGGGAUAGCCCGAAGAAAUUUGGAUUAAUACCCCAUAAUAUUAUUGAAUGGCAUCAUUUCAUAAUUAAAACUGAGGUGGUGAAAGAUGGGCAUGCGUCCUAUUAGCUAGUUGGAGUGGUAACGGCACCCCAAGGCUACGAUAGGUAGGGGUCCUGAGAGGGAGAUCCCCCACACUGGUACUGAGACAGGGACCAGACUCCUACGGGAGGCAGCAGUGAGGAAUAUUGGUCAAUGGUCGGAAGACUGAACCAGCCAUGCCGCGUGCAGGAAGAAUGCCUUAUGGGUUGUAAACUGCUUUUAUAUGGGAAGAAUAAGGCGUACGUGUACGUUGAUGACGGUACCAUAUGAAUAAGCAUCGGCUAACUCCGUGCCAGCAGCCGCGGUAAUACGGAGGAUGCGAGCGUUAUUCGGAAUCAUUGGGUUUAAAGGGUCUGUAGGCGGGCUAUUAAGUCAGGGGUGAAAGGUUUCAGCUUAACUGAGAAAUUGCCUUUGAUACUGGUAGUCUUGAAUAUCUGUGAAGUUCUUGGAAUGUGUAGUGUAGCGGUGAAAUGCUUAGAUAUUACACAGAACACCGAUUGCGAAGGCAGGGGACUAACAGACAAUUGACGCUGAGAGACGAAAGCGUGGGGAGCGAACAGGAUUAGAUACCCUGGUAGUCCACGCUGUAAACGAUGGAUACUAGCUGUUUGGCGCAAGCUGAGUGGCUAAGCGAAAGUGAUAAGUAUCCCACCUGGGGAGUACGCACGCAAGUGUGAAAACUCAAAGGAAUUGACGGGGGCCCGCACAAGCGGUGGAGCAUGUGGUUUAAUUCGAUGAUACGCGAGGAACCCUUACCAAGGUUUAAAAUGGAGACUGACAGGUGUAGAGAUACGCUCUUUCUUUCGGACAGUUUUCAAAGGUGCUGCAUGGUUGUUCGUCAGCUCGUGCCGUGAGGUGUCAGGUUAAAGUUCCUAUAACGAGCGGCCGAACCCCUAUUGUUAGUUACCAGCGACGUAAUGGUGGGAACUCUAGCAAGACUGCCGGUGUGAAACCGUGAGGAAAGGUGGGGAUGA